Molecule: ribosomal RNA, 495 nt
Filed under: uncultured bacterium
Lineage: Bacteria
Description: partial 16S ribosomal RNA
Rfam family: Bacterial small subunit ribosomal RNA
Source: RNAcentral
GAUGAACGCUGGCGGCGUGCCUAAUACAUGCAAGUCGAACGCUGAAGGAGGAGCUUGCUCUUCUGGAUGAGUUGCGAACGGGUGAGUAACGCGUAGGUAACCUGCCUGGUAGCGGGGGAUAACUAUUGGAAACGAUAGCUAAUACCGCAUGACAACAGCUAUUGCAUGAUAACUGUUUAAAAGGGGCAACUGCUGCACUACCAGAUGGAGCUGCGGUGUAUUAGCUAGUUGGUGAGGUAACGGCUCACCAAGGCGACGAUACAUAGCAGACCUGAGAGGGGGAGCGGCCGCACUGGGAGUGUGACACGGCCCAGUGGCACUCGGGAGGCAGCAGUAGGGAAACUUCGGCAAUGGAUGGAAGACUGACCGAGCUACGCGGCGUGAGUGAAGAAGGUUUUCGGAUCGUAAAGCACUGUUGUAAGGGAAGAACGAGCGUGAGAGUGGAAAGAUCACACUGUGACGGUAUCUGAUAAGAAAGGAACGGCUAACUACGUG